AACGAACGCUGGCGGCAGGCCUAACACAUGCAAGUCGAGCGAGGACUUCGGUUCUAGCGGCGGACGGGGGAGUAACGCGUGGGAAUGUGCCCUUCUCUACGGAAUAGCCCUGGGAAACUGGGAGUAAUACCGUAUACGCCCUAAUGGGGAAAGAUUUAUCGGAGAAGGAUCAGCCCGCGUUGGAUUAGGUAGUUGGUGGGGUAAUGGCCUACCAAGCCGACGAUCCAUAGCUGGUUGGAGAGGAUGAUCAGCCACACUGGGACUGAGACACGGCCCAGACUCCUACGGGAGGCAGCAGUAGGGAAUCUUAGACAAUGGGGGCAACCCUGAUCUAGCCAUGCCGGGUGAGUGAUGAAGGCCUUAGGGUUGUAAAGCUCUUUCAGCUGGGAAGAUAAUGACGGUACCAGCAGAAGAAGCCCCGGCUAACUCCGUG
Molecule: ribosomal RNA, 433 nt
Filed under: uncultured bacterium
Lineage: Bacteria
Description: partial 16S ribosomal RNA
Rfam family: Bacterial small subunit ribosomal RNA
Source: RNAcentral